RNAcentral lists this long non-coding RNA (1132 nucleotides) under Panax ginseng (ginseng). Its description in RNAcentral is "long non-coding RNA (PGIN_LNC013147)". The record is from RNAcentral. Lineage: Eukaryota; Viridiplantae; Streptophyta; Magnoliopsida; Apiales; Araliaceae.
AAAACUUACAAUCAUCCAUACAUAUCCAAACCACCAAAAAAAUCAUCAUUCCAUACCCAAAAUCAUCAUAACCAAGUACAAUUAGCUAACUUUACAAAAGGCAGAACACAAAAAUACAUACAUGCAGAAAAUAGAGAAACAACAUGAGCAUAAACCCUUUACUUUACAGCUUACAUCAUGUAUACUUCAAUAUAUACCUGAAAAUAUUUGAAAUUUAAAAAUUAUCGAAAUAUGUGAGUUAAAAUAAAACAAUUAUAAAUAUUUUAAGGAAAAGAUAUGGACUUACAAUCAAAUAUAGUUUUCUUAGUACUAUCUCAACGAACGGUUCAUUUGCUUAAUAAUUUAAAUCAAAAAUUUGCAUCUGGAAUUUCAUGGUUUCGAGGAUUAAAUGCAACAUCCAUAGUAACACCUUCUACUGUGUAGGCACUACAGAUAAAAUUAUAGAUGUCAUACAAUUUUUAAAAGGAGAACAUGAAUAAGACAGCAAGUGUGAGAAUAGAAAAUUAAAACUUAUAUCGAACACCUGGUGCCUUCAUUCGGAUUAUGUGGGGAGAAUGGUUCCAAGACUGUUGUUGUGCUUUUGUAUAGGUUUUGAGGAGGCAAGUCUUGGAGCAUGGUAGUCACAGGGGACAACCUUAAGAUAUUUGUUGGUGUGCCUUCUUCAUGAUUUUGAAGAGGAUUUUCUUGAUUCAUGAUGGCCACAAACAACCACCGUGAAACAAUUGUUGUAGUAUCUUCAUUAAGAUUUUGAAGCAAGGUGGUUGACGAUGAAAAGCUAUGUUACCCCACCUUUAUUGUUUUAUCCAAAUUUUUUCUUCUUUUUUCCUUCCAAAAGUUUUCUUGAAACAUAAAUGAUCAUAGAGAAAAAUACUAAUAGUACUAAUUAAGUUUAGUUAUUUAUAACAAUUUUUCGUUACGUCGUGUCUUACUCUCCUUGAACACAUAUACUGUCAGCACCAAAAUCAAGUCAAUAUAAUGUCAAUAAAAUAAUUUGCAAAUAAAGCCAAUAGUGAGACACAACAGUAGUAUAUGAGUUCAAUUCAAAUAAGAGGAAAGGAAAAUAUCAGUAUUGACAAUCAUUCAACAGUAAUAAUGAUACUUUUGCUAGUAAAUCAUUCAACAGUAAUUAUUU